This 278-nucleotide ribosomal RNA is filed under the name uncultured prokaryote. RNAcentral describes it as "partial 16S ribosomal RNA". It matches the Rfam family "Bacterial small subunit ribosomal RNA", at positions 524 to 801 of the family's 1533-position model. The record is from RNAcentral.
UACGUAGGGGGCUAGCGUUAUCCGGAAUUAUUGGGCGUAAAGGGCGUGUAGGCGGUUAUUUAAGUCAGGUGUGAAACACCACGGCUCAACCGUGGGGUUGCACUUGAAACUGGAGGACUUGAGUGCAGGAGAGGAGAAUGGAAUUCCUAGUGUAGCGGUGAAAUGCGUAGAGAUUAGGAAGAACACCAGUGGCGAAGGCGAUUCUCUGGACUGUAACUGACGCUGAGGCUCGAAAGCGUGGGGAGCAAACAGGAUUAGAUACCCCGGUAGUCCCUGAG